GCACACAAGCGCUCGCGAUAUUUUCGAGAGUAUUAAAACAAAAUCAUCCGCGCCCACCGGAUUUUAUCGAUUUCCCUAUCGCGACGCUAGACGCAUUUCAUUAACUUUAAAUUUUUAAUACGGCUUCGCAGACUCCGCAAGAUCGGCCUCGUGAAAACAUAUAUCUCUGGGCUUAUUUAUAAAUUGUCUAUUAUUAGCAUUCGAUUCUCCUAUAAGGUACUAAUAUAUGAACAGUACAUUUGGAAAGCUAUUAAUUACAGAUAUAUCUGCAAAAUUUAAAUUGCCAUAUAAUACUCUCCAGAAAAAUUACCGCCAUUUAGCACUGACAUUUGGAAGUACCGAUUGUCAGAAGAAGAUCGCAGUGAGAGCCGGUCUUGUCACAAAAUCAAAACAAAUGUAGUUAACCUCAACCAAUUUUUAUCGCAGAUAAACAGAUGAAGUUUAUUUUGAUAUUUUGGACGAAGGCGAAAAUAACAACGUUAUUUUGGGAAAUUUGGUAUGUCAGCAUGGAUUUUGUUCUGAAAAAGAGAAACUAGGUUUCUUAACGGGUGAACUGCCUGUUGAAACGCAGAUCUCUAUUAUUUCUCGAAUGUUCAGAUUUAUAGCGCGAUGGAGAACACUAAUUCCGGACGAAAAACCGGAUAAGAUUACUUUGGAUGAUUUGUAUAAUUUGGAAAAUUUGAAUUUAAAUCUGUUUCCCUCAUAUGGGGAGAUCAAGACAUUUUCUGCAGAGGAGAGAAGGGAUAAAAUAAAAGAAUUUCAAUAUGAAUUGCAGCUUAUUAAAGUUCAGCAGGAUACCAUAGAUGAAUCGAGCAGGCAGCAUGAAUUUAACACAAUAAAUCUACAUGAUUCAUUACAAGAUUUAGGGCAGUGUCUUCGCCACAUUGAUAAAAAUCUUCAAUCGUUAAUUAAGAAACCAACCAACGGCUCAGAUUGUGAAGUAAAUUAUGAAAUAGAUCCUAAUUCUGGAGAACUAUUUCGUAAUUGUUGUGAUCACAUUAAACUAAUUUCACAGUAUGUUCGGGAUGUUAAGACGAUUUGUGACUUUUCUGGAGAUCAGAAUCAGUUAAAGGAAAUUGAUGAUUGUGUUCAAAUGAUACAGGGUAUCACAACGCAAAUUUGCAGGCUCAAUAUGUCCACAG
Molecule: RNA transcript, 1142 nt
Organism: Cylas formicarius (sweet potato weevil)
Lineage: Eukaryota; Metazoa; Arthropoda; Insecta; Coleoptera; Brentidae
Exons: 4
Source: RefSeq, a predicted model, not a curated record